This 447-nucleotide ribosomal RNA is filed under the name uncultured bacterium. RNAcentral describes it as "bacterial SSU rRNA". It matches the Rfam family "Bacterial small subunit ribosomal RNA", at positions 28 to 457 of the family's 1533-position model. The record is from RNAcentral.
GAUGAACGCUGGCGGCGUGCUUAACACAUGCAAGUCGAACGAAGCACUUUAACCUGAUUCUUCGGAUGAAGGUUUUUGUGACUGAGUGGCGGAUGGGUGAGUAACGCGUGGGUAACCUGCCUCAUACAGGGGGAUAACAGUUAGAAAUGACUGCUAAUACCGCAUAAGACCACGGAGCCGCAUGGCUCAGUGGGAAAAACUCCGGUGGUAUGAGAUGGACCCGCGUCUGAUUAGGUAGUUGGUGGGGUAACGGCCUACCAAGCCAACGAUCAGUAGCCGACCUGAGAGGGUGACCGGCCACAUUGGGACUGAGACACGGCCCAAACUCCUACGGGAGGCAGCAGUGGGGAAUAUUGCACAAUGGGGGAAACCCUGAUGCAGCGACGCCGCGUGAGCGAAGAAGUAUUUCGGUAUGUAAAGCUCUAUCAGCAGGGAAGAAAAUGACGG